UCCCACCUAGAUUACAGUUCUCGUUAAAAGACAGGUCAUCGCCAGAAUACAAAAUCUCGAGGUCCUUCCUCUUCUGCUUGCUUCCGGUUCCACAUCCGAUCGAAAGCCGUAGAAAUCUCACCUUCUGACCAUGGGCUGCUCCUCCUCACUUCCCGAUAGGAGUUCUGGACGUUUGGGUGGAUUGAACACUGAGAACUCUGGAGCUGCUGACUCAAAAAACUUACGGGUGAAGUUGGUGCUGUUGGGAGAUUCAGGUGUUGGUAAAAGCUGCAUCGUUCUUCGCUUUGUCCGUGGGCAGUUUGACCCAACAUCCAAGGUAACUGUUGGUGCAUCAUUCUUGUCGCAAACAAUAGCUUUGCAAGAUUCUACAACUGUUAAGUUUGAAAUAUGGGAUACUGCUGGCCAGGAGAGGUACGCUGCUUUGGCGCCUCUUUACUAUCGGGGAGCAGCUGUGGCAGUUAUUGUGUAUGAUAUAACAAGCCCUGAGUCAUUUAAUAAAGCACAGUACUGGGUUAAGGAACUACAGAAACAUGGUAGCCCUGAUAUCGUCAUGGCUUUGGUGGGUAACAAGGCUGAUCUUCAGGAAAAUCGGAAAGUAACUGUCCAAGAUGCAGUAGAGUAUGCAGAGAAGAAUGGAAUGUUUUUUAUAGAGACAUCUGCAAAGACAGCUGAUAAUAUUAAUCAACUGUUUGAGGAAAUUGCGACUACCAGAGAUAAACUCCUGAGUCGAUGGUUCUAAGAUGGGGAGGAAGAUUACAAAAGACAUGCUUUACCCAUGUAUGAGCAAAGGUGGUUGUAGAGGUGGAUGCAACAUUGUUAUAGAGCCACUAAAAGAAGAAAGAAAACGUGCAUAUUCCUCCCUUGAUAGUGAAACACUGGUCUGAUCACCACUAGCAUUAGACAAAGUAAGAGUAGUGGAUCUAUCAUUUGAAGCAUCAUCCUUAACUAUAAGAGCUUGGUUUGUCCUUGGGAGUUUUCCAUGAAGAGUCCAGUAAAAGUCUACCAUAUAAUUUGCUAGGCCACAAUGAGUACACAUAUGCUUUCCUUUAUCACCAUGACAACAUCUACCUCUCCUUGGGAAUCCACCACCCCUCUCACCAUGGGGAGGACCACGUCCAACGUGACCACCAUGGUCUACAUGAAAGCCUAAAUAACUGGAUGAAGAGGCUAGUGCCAUUUUAUUAGAUUCAUUAAGUCGAGAGUUGUCAAAUUCAUUUGCUAGAGAGACUCUGAAGUCUUGCAUAGACAUUUGCCAUUGAAGGAAUGAGAACUCUUAAAAUUUGAUCCUUUGUCGAUUGAUAUUCUUUGGGCCAUCCAUAGCAAGUUUUACUAGCUUCAUACAUUCUCAUUGCUUCUUCAUAAGGGAUACAUUUGAGGUAAUGGGAUGAUAUAUGGCCAGUUCUUUCCACAUUCCAAUCAGCUUUGCAAAAUAUUUACUAAGGGGCUCCCCCCCCCCCACAAUUUGAAAAGAGAA
This is an RNA transcript of Magnolia sinica, 1474 nucleotides long. It is a transcript of the gene named ras-related protein RABF1, with no coding region annotated. The record is from RefSeq and is a predicted model, not a curated record. The transcript has 9 exons. NCBI's taxonomy places the organism in Eukaryota, Viridiplantae, Streptophyta, Magnoliopsida, Magnoliales, Magnoliaceae.